ACUCGCUUCGGCGGUGUAUACACCAAAAUUGGAACGAUACAGAGACGAUUAGCAUGGCACUCGUGCAAGGAUGACAGAGAAGAGAAGGUGAAGGAGCUCAUGAAC
This is a small nuclear RNA of Schistocerca piceifrons (Central American locust), 105 nucleotides long. The record is from RefSeq and is a predicted model, not a curated record. Lineage: Eukaryota; Metazoa; Arthropoda; Insecta; Orthoptera; Acrididae.